AAAGUCGUAACAAGGUUUCCGUAGGUGAACCUGCGGAAGGAUCAUCACAGCAUGGUAGAGGGUUGCACAUUGUGACACCGUGAAUGGUAUGGAGGGCUGCGGGGUGGGUUGGCGGGGUAGAGGGGGGGUGAGAGGAGCGUGACACGCGACGCUUGCCACCGCCCGCCGAUGCACCCAGUGGCCGCAUUCGUGUACACUACACUAUGCAAACUAUGCAAACACAAAACAGUAAUAACACACAACUUUCAACAAUGGAUCUCUUGGCUCUC
This 269-nucleotide unclassified non-coding RNA is filed under the name Ascomycota sp. RNAcentral's name for it is "partial contains small subunit ribosomal RNA, internal transcribed spacer 1, and 5.8S ribosomal RNA". The stretch from base 1 to 47 matches the Rfam family "Eukaryotic small subunit ribosomal RNA", at positions 1785 to 1831 of the family's 1831-position model. Lineage: Eukaryota; Fungi; Ascomycota. The record is from RNAcentral.